Molecule: ribosomal RNA, 390 nt
Filed under: Triticum aestivum (bread wheat)
Lineage: Eukaryota; Viridiplantae; Streptophyta; Magnoliopsida; Poales; Poaceae
Description: partial small subunit ribosomal RNA
Source: RNAcentral
AUGGAUGACGAAGAAGAAACAAUUGGUGAGGGGCAGAGUGCAACAACAAGAACAGUUACAUUCAUACCAACAGCAGGAGAGGGAGAAAGAACAACAUCAUCAUUCACAAUUCAAGACCCAGAUGUAGCCAAAACAAAAGGGAGACCAAGGAUGCUAACUAUUGGUGAAGCAAUAAAGCAAAACAAGUUCUACAAAUGCUCACACUGUGGAUCUGAGAGACACACACUAAAUAAUUGCACGAACCUUGACAAGGAGUACAACAAGCCUAAAGGGAAACAACCGAAGCAGUCGAACCCGAGGAGUGUCAAGAAAUUGGAGAUAACAAAAGAAGCAACCAGAGGGACAAUGACAAGAAGAAGGGCAACACAACGGCACAACACAACCCUAUAG